Molecule: ribosomal RNA, 460 nt
Filed under: uncultured bacterium
Lineage: Bacteria
Description: partial 16S ribosomal RNA
Rfam family: Bacterial small subunit ribosomal RNA
Source: RNAcentral
CCUACGGGAGGCAGCAGUGAGGAAUAUUGGUCAAUGGCCGGAAGGCUGAACCAGCCAUGCCGCGUGAAGGUCAGUGCCCUAUGGGCGUUAAACUUCUUUUGUGCGGGAGCAAUAAUGGUCACGUGUGGCCAGACGAGAGUACCGUACGAAUAAGCAUCGGCUAACUCCGUGCCAGCAGCCGCGGUGAUACGGGGGAUGCAAGCGUUAUCCGGAUUUAUUGGGUUUAAAGGGUGCGUAGGCUGUGAGGUAAGUCAGCGGUGAAAUGCCCCCGCUCAACGGGGUGAAGUGCCAUUGAUACUGCCUUGCUGGAAUGCGGAUGCCGUGGGAGGAAUGUGUGGUGUAGCGGUGAAAUGCAUAGAGAUCACACAGAACACCGAUUGCGAAGGCAGCUCACGAAUCCGCGAUUGACGCUGAUGCACGAAAGCGUGGGUAUCAAACAGGAUUAGAUACCCCUGUAGUC